This 291-nucleotide ribosomal RNA is filed under the name uncultured prokaryote. RNAcentral's name for it is "partial 16S ribosomal RNA". It matches the Rfam family "Bacterial small subunit ribosomal RNA", at positions 505 to 796 of the family's 1533-position model. The record is from RNAcentral.
GUGUCAGCCGCCGCGGUAAUACGUAGGUGGCAAGCGUUGUCCGGAUUUAUUGGGCGUAAAGCGAGCGCAGGCGGUUUAAUAAGUCUGAAGUUAAAGGCAGUGGCUUAACCAUUGUUCGCUUUGGAAACUGUUAGACUUGAGUGCAGAAGGAGAGAGUGGAAUUCCAUGUGUAGCGGUGAAAUGCGUAGAUAUAUGGAGGAACACCGGUGGCGAAAGCGGCUCUCUGGUCUGUAACUGACGCUGAGGCUCGAAAGCGUGGGGAGCAAACAGGAUUAGAAACCCCGGUAGUCC